Molecule: ribosomal RNA, 253 nt
Filed under: uncultured bacterium
Lineage: Bacteria
Also listed under: 1 other name
Description: partial 16S ribosomal RNA
Rfam family: Bacterial small subunit ribosomal RNA
Source: RNAcentral
GACGAAGGGGGCUAGCGUUGCUCGGAAUUACUGGGCGUAAAGCGCACGUAGGCGGAUUGUUAAGUCGGGGGUGAAAUCCUGGAGCUCAACUCCAGAACUGCCUUCGAUACUGGCGAUCUCGAGUUCGGGAGAGGUGAGUGGAACUGCGAGUGUAGAGGUGAAAUUCGUAGAUAUUCGCAAGAACACCAGUGGCGAAGGCGGCUCACUGGCCCGAUACUGACGCUGAGGUGCGAAAGCGUGGGGAGCAAACAGG